CAGAGGGUGCGAGCGUUAAUCGGAAUUACUGGGCGUAAAGCGCACGUAGUCGGCUUUGCAAGUCGGGUGUGAAAUCCCCGGGCUCAACCUGGGAACUGCAUCCGAGACUGCAUUGCUAGAGUAUGGGAGAGGGAAGCGGAAUUUCUGGUGUAGCAGUGAAAUGCGUAGAUAUCAGAAGGAACAUCAGUGGCGAAGGCGGCUUCCUGGACCAAUACUGACGAUCAGGUGCGAAAGCGUGGGGAGCAAACAGGAUUAGAUACCCUGGUAGUCCACGCCCUAAACGAUGAGAACUGGAUGUCGGGAGGGUUUGCCUUCCGGUGUCGUAGCUAACGCGUUAAGUUCUCCGCCUGGGAAGUACGGCCGCAAGGUUG
RNAcentral lists this ribosomal RNA (371 nucleotides) under uncultured organism. RNAcentral's name for it is "bacterial SSU rRNA". It matches the Rfam family "Bacterial small subunit ribosomal RNA", at positions 526 to 896 of the family's 1533-position model. The record is from RNAcentral.